GAAUAGCUCAGUCGGUAGAGCAUGAGAUUCUUAAUCUCAAGGUCAUGGGUUUGAGCCCCAUGUUGGGCA
Podarcis lilfordi (Lilford's wall lizard) is the source of this 69-nucleotide non-coding RNA. The record is from the annotation of a GenBank genome assembly. Lineage: Eukaryota; Metazoa; Chordata; Lepidosauria; Squamata; Lacertidae.